This 295-nucleotide ribosomal RNA is filed under the name uncultured bacterium. Its description in RNAcentral is "partial 16S ribosomal RNA". It matches the Rfam family "Bacterial small subunit ribosomal RNA", at positions 335 to 627 of the family's 1533-position model. The record is from RNAcentral.
UUCCCUACGGGGCGCAGCAGUGAGGAAUAUUGGUCAAUGGACGAGAGUCUGAACCAGCCAAGUAGCGUGAAGGAUGACUGCCCUACGGGUUGUAAACUUCUUUUAUAAAGGAAUAAAGUGAGGCACGUGUGCCUUUUUGUAUGUACUUUAUGAAUAAGGAUCGGCUAACUCCGUGCCAGCAGCCGCGGUAAUACGGAGGAUCCGAGCGUUAUCCGGAUUUAUUGGGUUUAAAGGGAGCGUAGAUGGGUUGUUAAGUCGGUUGUGAAAGUUUGCGGCUCAACCGUAAAAUUGCAUU